Molecule: ribosomal RNA, 433 nt
Filed under: uncultured bacterium
Lineage: Bacteria
Description: partial 16S ribosomal RNA
Rfam family: Bacterial small subunit ribosomal RNA
Source: RNAcentral
AGCGAACGCUGGCGGCAGGCCUAACACAUGCAAGUCGAACGAACUCUUCGGAGUUAGUGGCGGUCGGGUGAGUAACACGUGGUAACGUGCAUUUAGGUUAGGAAUAACUCAGGGAAACUUGAGCUAAUACCGAAGGUGCUCUUCGGGGGAAAGAUGUAUCGCCUUUAGAGCGGCCUGCGUCAGAUUAGCUAGUUGGGGAGGGAAAGGCUCCCCAAGGCGUCGAUCAGGGGCUGGUCUGAGACGAUGAUCAGGCACAUUGGGAAUACGACACGGCCCAAACUGCUACGGAAGGCAGCAGUGGGGAAUCUUGCGCGAUGGGCGAUGGCCUGACGCAGCCAUGCCGGGUGAAUGAUGAAGGUCUUAGGAUUGUAAAUUUCUUUCACCGGGGACGAUAAUGACGGUACCCGGAGAAGAAGCCCCGGCUAACUUCGUG